Molecule: unclassified non-coding RNA, 400 nt
Filed under: uncultured fungus
Lineage: Eukaryota; Fungi
Description: sequence contains ITS1
Rfam family: 5.8S ribosomal RNA (bases 1-105)
Source: RNAcentral
GAAAUGCGAUAAGUAAUGUGAAUUGCAGAAUUCCGUGAAUCAUUAAAUCUUUGAACGCACAUUGCACUCGUUGGUAUUCCGACGAGUAUAUCUGUUUGAGAAUCAGUUUAAUUUAUCAACGUUUUUUGGUUUUUUCUUAAUUGAUUUUCCCAUUAACGCUGGAUUUGGAACCAAUUGUGUGACUCCUUCACCCGAGUCUCUCGAUGGAUCUUUUUAAAACUAUUUGUUGCUCUUAUUUUCUUAAGACUAAAAGGCAUGACCAAAGAACGAAAGUUCUAAGAAAGUGCUGAUUAAAAUUUUGAAGAGUUCUAAGAGAGUAACGUUAAAAAAUAUUAAACACGAAGUUUUAUUUAAUUAAGACUUUAAGACUUGAUCUCAAAUCAGAUAAGACUACCCGCUG